RNAcentral lists this small RNA (27 nucleotides) under Bombyx mori (domestic silkworm). RNAcentral's name for it is "ovarian small RNA-24610". Lineage: Eukaryota; Metazoa; Arthropoda; Insecta; Lepidoptera; Bombycidae. The record is from RNAcentral.
UCAACCGCAAAGGAAUGGUCAUAAAAU